CGCUGUCAGUUGUGUUUUUGUGUGUGUGUGUGUGUGUGUGUGCUGUGAUCUGACAACACAGGACUGAACCUACCUCGUCAAACAAGGAGAACACUUUAUAAAAGUUUCAGUGCUUGUUCAAUAUUGUUUUGGAACUUGGACUGACAUCAACAGAGGGGCUGGUGAGUACAUGAACUCACAUGGAGGUACAACAUGAUGGUCCUUCCAACGGAACACUUUACCGCUACUAGGCUGCUGUCAUCAGCUGCAGCCCUGAAUUUUCCUUUCUCAGCUGCAGUUAAAUACAGCAUCCUUGCUUUGUCCGUCUCUCUUCUCCUUCUGGCACUGGGAAUUUUGGUCUGGCAGGCCUUCAGAUGCUUUCGAAGUCAACACACCACACGCAGUCUGCUUGAAGCAGCGAAUGGGGAGUUGCUUUACGCAAAUGACGAAUCUCAAGCAUCACGACAAUACAAAGGAAUCCCAACUAUUAAGGUGAGAAGCCAUGGCAGGAAAAGAGUGAAACCACGUCUGUGAUGUUGAAAAUAAAUGAGGUCUGGGGUUGAUA
Nerophis ophidion (straightnose pipefish) is the source of this 544-nucleotide long non-coding RNA. RefSeq lists it as uncharacterized. The transcript is spliced from 3 exons. The record is from RefSeq and is a predicted model, not a curated record. Lineage: Eukaryota; Metazoa; Chordata; Actinopteri; Syngnathiformes; Syngnathidae.